GGGCGUGUGCUUUGAUAUCCCUGUUGAUGAACUGAAUAAUAUACAGGAGCAGUGGAGGGACACGCGGCGCUGGCAGCUGUCGGUGGCCAGCGAGCUGCCCGAGCUGGAGGAAUUCCCCCAGGAGGCGGCAGGACGAGGCUUCUCCAGGUUCGGAAAAAGCAGGCAAGGAGACUUCAAGAGAAACAGCUGGUUCAAGAAUGGAAAUCGGGGACUUUAACAGAGCGCUUGGUUAACCUCUGCUCCAGAUAAUAGGACUGAGCUGAAUUUUAUAAGACAGUAAAAGCCUGUUAGACACUC
This is a long non-coding RNA of Ficedula albicollis (Collared flycatcher), 297 nucleotides long. RefSeq lists it as uncharacterized. Lineage: Eukaryota; Metazoa; Chordata; Aves; Passeriformes; Muscicapidae. The record is from RefSeq and is a predicted model, not a curated record. The transcript is spliced from 2 exons.